CGCGGGGUGGUGCAGUCUGGUAGCACGCCGGGCUCAUAACCCGGAAGUCGCCGGUUCGAAUCCGGUCCCCGCUA
This 74-nucleotide transfer RNA is filed under the name Candidatus Eiseniibacteriota bacterium. RNAcentral's name for it is "Candidatus Eisenbacteria bacterium tRNA-Met". It matches the Rfam family "tRNA". From Rfam's summary of the family: Transfer RNA (tRNA) molecules are approximately 80 nucleotides in length. Their secondary structure includes four short double-helical elements and three loops (D, anti-codon, and T loops). Further hydrogen bonds mediate the characteristic L-shaped molecular structure. tRNAs have two regions of fundamental functional importance: the anti-codon, which is responsible for specific mRNA codon recognition, and the 3' end, to which the tRNAs corresponding amino acid is attached (by aminoacyl-tRNA synthetases). tRNAs cope with the degeneracy of the genetic code in two manners: having more than one tRNA (with a specific anti-codon) for a particular amino acid; and 'wobble' base-pairing, i.e. permitting non-standard base-pairing at the 3rd anti-codon position. Lineage: Bacteria; Candidatus Eiseniibacteriota. The record is from RNAcentral.